This 282-nucleotide ribosomal RNA is filed under the name Olea europaea subsp. europaea. RNAcentral describes it as "SSU_rRNA_microsporidia". It matches the Rfam family "Eukaryotic small subunit ribosomal RNA", at positions 1248 to 1486 of the family's 1831-position model. The record is from RNAcentral. Lineage: Eukaryota; Viridiplantae; Streptophyta; Magnoliopsida; Lamiales; Oleaceae.
GUGGGAUUUUCUCUCAAUAGGUUGAGAGCAUCUCUCUCUAACUAACUUUUAUUGAGAGCUCUUUCUAGAUUCUACGGGUGGUGGUGCAUGGCCAUUCUUAGUUGGUAAAGUGAUUUGUCUGGUUAAUUCCAUUAACGAACGAGACCUCAGUCUGCUAACCAGCUAUGUCGAGGCAACCCUUCGUGGCUAGCUUCUUAGAGGGACUACGACCUUUUAGGCCAUGGAAGUUUGAGGCAAUAACAGGUCUGUGAUGCCCUUAGAUGUUCUGGGUCAUAGGCCCGC